This 80-nucleotide microRNA precursor is filed under the name Ovis aries (sheep). Its description in RNAcentral is "miRNA (ENSOARG00000023443.1)". The record is from RNAcentral. Lineage: Eukaryota; Metazoa; Chordata; Mammalia; Artiodactyla; Bovidae.
AUUGGGUUGGCCCAAAAGUUCAUUUGGGUUUUUCUGUACAAUAUUAUGGAAAAACUUGAAUGAACUUUUGGGCCAACCCA